This is a long non-coding RNA of Bombus terrestris (buff-tailed bumblebee), 875 nucleotides long. RefSeq lists it as uncharacterized. The transcript is spliced from 3 exons. The record is from RefSeq and is a predicted model, not a curated record. Lineage: Eukaryota; Metazoa; Arthropoda; Insecta; Hymenoptera; Apidae.
UAGAUGAACAAUCACGAAGUGGUGCAACUGCGCGAGUCGCAGAAACGUUGCCAAUUCGCCUGUUCCAUUGAUUGGUCCAUGGAAAGCGAAAGAUAUAGAAAGACUGUUGACCGGUCAGAGCACAGGGUGAUAAGGGAGAGGGAAGCGGGCGCCGAGACGCCAGACGCCGGCGGAUGCCGGGCGCCGCGUGUCCUAGACUCGCGACGGGACAACGACCGCGAUGUUUGCCGAGUGAAAUGCGAGAAAAAGGAAUGCGACGACGAGUCGUGUCUCAACGAAACUGCUCAAAAAACGAGGACGAGCCGGUGAAAGAGGCGGACGGGGAGGAAAUAGCGGUGGAUUGGAAAACGUUCUAAGCGCAAUUCGUACAAUGAAACUAGAUGCAAGCAUGUAGUAAAAGCGAAAAUAACAGUAUUCCUAGGAGUACAGCGAGGUUGGACAGAUGAUGUGUUUCUUAGGACGAGGCUGUAGUAUCCAAUGGGCUAUUUGAGAUACCUUAAGUGUGUUAUAGACCAGAUAGGUUCGCGAUAUCAGGUGCAUUUGUGCUGCUCUCGAUUACUCACGGCAUUCGAUGUUGUUCUUGUACGCACUCCUAAAGAAAGACUCGAGAUAACCUAACGAACGGAUCGAGUUCGCUCAGCGUUAAUGGCGAACGGACGAUCGCAAUUUCUACGAAAUUCCAUGACUUUAUAUAUGUAUAUCACGAUACUAGCAACUGAAGAAAUAGGCCAAAAUUCUUUCAAGGUUAUUUAAGUACAGAUUAUAUUAUCAUUACACUAUUGUAUAUUUAAUUAAUAUGUAAGUUUUGACAUUGUAAUCCCUUACUAAUAAAACAAAAUUGUUUAGUUAGUGUCAUUAAAGCAAUAUUUCUCCUC